CAGUAGCCACGGGAAUACAGAGGGUGCGAGCGUUAAUCGGAUUCACUGGGUUUAAAGGGUGCGUAGGCGGAUCUGUAAGUCAGUGGUGAAAUCUCCAGGCUUAACCUGGAAACUGCCGUUGAUACUAUAGGUCUUGAAUUUUGUGGAGGUUAGCGGAAUAUGUCAUGUAGCGGUGAAAUGCAUAGAUAUGACAUAGAACACCAAUUGCGAAGGCAGCUGGCUACACAACUAUUGACGCUGAGGCACGAAAGCGUGGGGAUCAAACAGGAUUAGAUACCCCCGUAGUCCCUGUCUCUUAUAC
Molecule: ribosomal RNA, 301 nt
Filed under: uncultured bacterium
Lineage: Bacteria
Description: partial 16S ribosomal RNA
Rfam family: Bacterial small subunit ribosomal RNA
Source: RNAcentral